This 229-nucleotide unclassified non-coding RNA is filed under the name Hevea brasiliensis (rubber tree). The record is from RNAcentral. Lineage: Eukaryota; Viridiplantae; Streptophyta; Magnoliopsida; Malpighiales; Euphorbiaceae.
ACAAAUGCAAUGGCUACUUCAAAACAAUUUUCAUAUGAUAGAUUCUAUACUUGUUAAAGGUGAGCUAAAGGGGCAAGGUGUACAAGGUGCUGACUACUGACUGUACAAGCAAAAGGCGAGCUAUGUCUAACAGAUGUGCCUUCUCCCAGGCAAAAGGCAUUAGAAGGUCCACCUUCUUCCAGGCAAAAGGCCCUAGAAAGGCAUGGCUUCCUAAUUUCCAUCUUCUGUG